ACUCCGGUUGAUCCUGCCGGCGGCCACUGCUAUCAGGUUUCGACUAAGCCAUGCGAGUCAUGGGGCCGCAAGGCACCGGCGUACCGCUCAGUAACACGCGGAUAAUCUGCCCCCAGGUGGGGUAUAACCUCGGGAAACUGAGGCUAAUCCCCCAUAGCCAUCAUAUGCUGGAACGCUUUGAUGGUGAAAGCUCCGGCGCCUGAGGAUGAGUCUGCGGCCUAUCAGGUAGUAUGUGGUGUAAAGGACCACAUAGCCUAGGACGGGUACGGGCCCUGAGAGGGGGAGCCCGGAGAUGGACUCUGAGACAUUAGUCCAGGCCCUACGGGGCGCAGCAGGCGCGAAAACUGUGCAAUGCGCGAAAGCGCGACACGGGAAACCUGAGUGCCUUGACAAUGUCAAGGCUUUUCUCAAGCCUAAAAAGCUUGAGGAAUAAGAGCUGGGUAAGACGGGUGCCAGCCGCCGCGGUAACACCCGCAGCUCAAGUGGUGGUCACUUUUAUUGAGCCUAAAGCGUUCGUAGCCGGUUGCGUAAAUCUUCAGAAAAAUUCUUCCGCUCAACGGAAGAUCCUCUGAAGAGACUGCGCGAC
Molecule: ribosomal RNA, 586 nt
Filed under: Thermoplasmatales archaeon AK
Lineage: Archaea; Methanobacteriati; Thermoplasmatota; Thermoplasmata; Thermoplasmatales
Description: bacterial SSU rRNA
Rfam family: Archaeal small subunit ribosomal RNA
Source: RNAcentral